RNAcentral lists this ribosomal RNA (400 nucleotides) under uncultured bacterium. RNAcentral's name for it is "bacterial SSU rRNA". It matches the Rfam family "Bacterial small subunit ribosomal RNA", at positions 121 to 518 of the family's 1533-position model. The record is from RNAcentral.
CCAACCUGCCGCUUACUCGGGGAUAGCCUUUCGAAAGAAAGAUUAAUACCCGAUGGUAUAAAGAGUUCGCAUGUUCUCUUUAUUAAAGAAUUUCGGUAAGCGAUGGGGAUGCGUUCCAUUAGAUAGUUGCGGGGUAACGGCCCACCAAGUCUACGAUGGAUAGGGGGUUCUGAGAGGAAGGUCCCCCACAUUGGAACUGAGACACGGUCCAAACUCCUACGGGAGGCAGCAGUGAGGAAUAUUGGUCAAUGGACGAGAGUCUGAACCAGCCAAGUAAGGCGUGAAGGAUGACUGCCCUAUGGGUUGUAAACUUCUUUUAUAAGGGAAUAAAGUGAGGGACGUGUCCCUUUUUGUAUGUACCUUAUGAAUAAGGAUCGGCUAACUCCGUGCCAGCCGCCGC